GGCGCCCUUCGGGGCUUAAUAGGGAAGUCGGUAGAAGCCGAUGCGGUCCCGCCACUGUAAGGACGAGCAGAUUUGCCGCGAUUGCCACUGGGGCGCAAGCUUUGGGAAGGCAGGCAGAGGAGUUAUGACGCCGAGCCAGGAGAACUGCCUGUUU
RNAcentral lists this non-coding RNA (154 nucleotides) under uncultured Selenomonas sp. Lineage: Bacteria; Bacillati; Bacillota; Negativicutes; Selenomonadales; Selenomonadaceae. The record is from RNAcentral.